Molecule: long non-coding RNA, 400 nt
Filed under: Olea europaea subsp. europaea
Lineage: Eukaryota; Viridiplantae; Streptophyta; Magnoliopsida; Lamiales; Oleaceae
Source: RNAcentral
AACCGUGUCUCCUCCAGAAUUUAUUUUCUUGGAGAAGAAGAAAAAACGGGGAAUUCAUAAACGGAAGUACACAGUUAAUGUCCAAACAGUGGGCACCCAAUUCCAAAACAGAGAUUUCUAAUGCAAACUAACUGAAACCCCAAGUUUCACAAUUUAAUACCAUUAAACCCUGAAGAAGAAAGGNAAAAAAAUAAAAAUGGAUGCAGCCCAAAAUCCCCAGCAUCCAGUAUGUGCGCAAGAGGCGCUGGAUCUGCUCAAUUGUGUAACCCAAUCCGCUUACGAUCAAGAAAAAUGCAUUUCCCUUCUUCAAUCGUUGCGUCAAUGCGUUCUCAGUAAGGUAUUUAUGUGAAACUUAAUCUACAAAAUUGCACACACAGUGUUUGUUCUAUUUCCACAGAGA